GAUGAACGCUGGCGGCGUGCUUAACACAUGCAAGUCGAACGGGAUCCAUCAAGCUUGCUUGGUGGUGAGAGUGGCGAACGGGUGAGUAAUGUGUGACCGACCUGCCCCAUGCACCGGAAUAGCUCCUGGAAACGGGUGGUAAUGCCGGAUGCUCCAUCACACCGCAUGGUGUGUUGGGAAAGCCUUUGCGGCAUGGGAUGGGGUCGCGUCCUAUCAGCUUGAUGGCGGGGUAACGGCCCACCAUGGCUUCGACGGGUAGCCGGCCUGAGAGGGAGACGGGCCGCAUGGGGACUGAGAUACGGCCCAGACUCCUACGGGAGGCAGCAGUGGGGAAUAUUGCACAAUGGGCGCAAGCCUGAUGCAGCGACGCCGCGUGAGGGAUGGAGGCCUUCGGGUUGUAAACCUCUUUUGUUAGGGAGCAAGGCAUUUUGUGUUGAGUGUACCUUUCGAAUAAGCACCGGCUAACUACGUGCCAGCAGCCGCCGCAG
Molecule: ribosomal RNA, 488 nt
Filed under: uncultured bacterium
Lineage: Bacteria
Description: partial 16S ribosomal RNA
Rfam family: Bacterial small subunit ribosomal RNA
Source: RNAcentral